Molecule: ribosomal RNA, 645 nt
Filed under: uncultured bacterium
Lineage: Bacteria
Description: bacterial SSU rRNA
Rfam family: Bacterial small subunit ribosomal RNA
Source: RNAcentral
CCAAUACUGACGCUGAGGCACGAAAGCGUGGGGACCAAACAGGAUUAGAUACCCUGGUAGUCCACGCCCUAAACGAUGAAUACUAGAUGUUUGGUGCCAAGCGUACUGAGUGUCGUAGCUAACGCGAUAAGUAUUCCGCCUGGGAAGUACGGCCGCAAGGUUAAAGCUCAAAGGAAUUGACGGGGGCCCGCACAAGCGGUGGAGCAUGUGGUUUAAUUCGAUGCAACGCGAAGAACCUUACCUGGGCUUGACAUGUCUGGAAUCCUGCAGAGAUGCGGGAGUGCCCUUCGGGGAAUCAGAACACAGGUGCUGCAUGGCUGUCGUCAGCUCGUGUCGUGAGAUGUUGGGUUAAGUCCCGCAACGAGCGCAACCCUUGUCCUUAGUUGCCAGCGGUUCGGCCGGGCACUCUAGGGAGACUGCCGGUGACAAACCGGAGGAAGGUGGGGAUGACGUCAAGUCCUCAUGGCCUUUAUGUCCAGGGCUACACACGUGCUACAAUGGCGCGUACAGAGGGAAGCCAAGCCGCGAGGUGGAGCAGACCCCAGAAAGCGCGUCGUAGUUCGGAUUGCAGUCUGCAACUCGACUGCAUGAAGUCGGAAUCGCUAGUAAUCGCGGAUCAGCAUGCCGCGGUGAUACGUUCCCGGG